CGGAGGGUGCAAGCGUUUAUCCGGAAUCAUUGGGUUUAAAGGGUUCGCAGGCGGGGUUAUAAGUCAGUGGUGAAAGCCUAUUGCUCAACAAUAGAACUGCCAUUGAUACUGUAGCCCUUGAAUUCGGUCGAAGUGGGCGGAAUAUGACAUGUAGCGGUGAAAUGCUUAGAUAUGUCAUAGAACACCGAUAGCGAAGGCAGCUCACUAGGCCUGGAUUGACGCUCAGGGACGAAAGCGUGGGGAGCAAACAGGAUUAGAUACCCUGGUAGUCCACGCCGUAAACUAUGAUUACUCGUUCUCGGCGAUAUACAGUCGGGGACUAAGCGAAAGCAUUAAGUAAUCCACCUGGGAAGUACGACCGCAAGGUUG
This 369-nucleotide ribosomal RNA is filed under the name uncultured organism. RNAcentral describes it as "bacterial SSU rRNA". It matches the Rfam family "Bacterial small subunit ribosomal RNA", at positions 526 to 896 of the family's 1533-position model. The record is from RNAcentral.